AGAUUGAACGCUGGCGGCAGGCCUAACACAUGCAAGUCGAGCGGUAGAGAGGUGCUUGCAUCUCUUGAGAGCGGCGGACGGGUGAGUAAUGCCUAGGAAUCUGCCUAGUGGUGGGGGAUAACGUUCGGAAACGGACGCUAAUACCGCAUACGUCCUACGGGAGAAAGCGGGGGACCUUCGGGCCUCGCGCCAUUAGAUGAGCCUAGGUCGGAUUAGCUAGUUGGUGAGGUAAUGGCUCACCAAGGCGACGAUCCGUAACUGGUCUGAGAGGAUGAUCAGUACACACUGGAACUGAGACACGGUCCAAGACCUCCGUACGGGAGGCAGCA
RNAcentral lists this ribosomal RNA (329 nucleotides) under uncultured soil bacterium. Its description in RNAcentral is "bacterial SSU rRNA". It matches the Rfam family "Bacterial small subunit ribosomal RNA", at positions 26 to 353 of the family's 1533-position model. The record is from RNAcentral.